UCAAUUAUUCUUCAAUCUUCAUCUCCAUCCUCCAGACAUUAGCAAACCAUCAGCCCUCCCCCAACCUCCCCCACGCCACACCCAACCUUUCAAUCUUCAUUCUUCAAUCUGAAGAUGAAGGGAGGUUGUCUCUACUUUUGAAAGAAAAUGGUAUAGAUGAUGUGGAAGAGAUGACGGAGAUAGUGGUGUGGGUUUACAAUUUUCCAUAGUAGGGGGACGAUGAAGACGGGAAUUAAUUCUCUGGAUGAUGAAGUUGGCUAUGGUAUGGUUGAUAAUUGCGAUGGAAAAAAAAAAAGGAGAGCAAGCUAGGGACGGUGAGGAUUUGGCGGAGACGAGGUUGGUUUGUGUGGCUGCUGGACAAUGGGUUUUUGGAAGAAUGGCUGUUGUGGCCUGCGCUGUAGAGAGGAUGGAUGAACAGUGCUUCGUUUUUUUCUUCUUUUCUUUUUUUUAGGUUUUUUGUUUUUAACUGAAAUUAGAAUAACGAACCGAAACUGAGGAAUGG
Molecule: long non-coding RNA, 502 nt
Filed under: Populus tremula
Lineage: Eukaryota; Viridiplantae; Streptophyta; Magnoliopsida; Malpighiales; Salicaceae
Description: long non-coding RNA (PTRE_LNC001324)
Source: RNAcentral